This 3067-nucleotide ribosomal RNA is filed under the name bacterium. RNAcentral's name for it is "bacterial LSU rRNA". It matches the Rfam family "Bacterial large subunit ribosomal RNA". The record is from RNAcentral.
AAAGGUUACUUAAUGCAUAUGGUGGAUGCCUUGACUGAAGUAAGCGAUGAAGGACGUAGCAGGUUGCGAUAAGCCUCGGGGAGUUGCCAAGCAAACUUUGAUCCGGGGAUGUCCGAAUGGGGCAACCCAAUCUCACUUAGUGGGAUUAUCCUGAACUGAAUCAAUAGGUUCAGGAAGCACACCCUGGGAAUUGAAACAUCUUAGUACCAGGAGGAAAAGAAAACAAUUGUGAUUCCGCAAGUAGUGGCGAGCGAACGCGGAUCAGCCUAAACCCAUCCUUCGGGAUAGGGGGUUGCGAGAUAAUUGGACUCGUUUGAUCGGGACCAGUCGUAAAUCAUUAGCAAAAUAUUCUGGAAAGUUUAACCAUAGCGGGUAAUAGUCCCGUAUGCGAAAAUCAUUUACGCCAGGUGCAAUUAUUCUCAAGUAGGGCGGGACCGGAGAAAUCCCGUCUGAAUCUGGGAGCACUACACUUCCAAGGCUAAAUAUUACUUCAGAUCGAUAGCGAACUAGUACCGUGAGGGAAAGGUGAAAAGCAUCCCGGUGAGGGAGGUGAAAUAGAACUGAAACCAUGUGCUAACGAAGAGUUGGAGUCCCGUCGCCCUCGGGCGACAGGAUGACAGCGUGCUUUUUGCAGAACGAGCCAACGAGUUAGUUUUAUGCGGCUUGUCUAAGAGGUGAAUCCCUCGGAGACACAGUGAAAGCGAGCCUUAAUAGGGCGUCCGUCGCAUGAACUAGACCCGAAGCCAGACGAGCUACAUAUGAGCAGGGUGAACUCUGGGUAACACCAGGGGGAGGCCCGAACCCACGCGCCGUGCAACACGCGGGGAUGACUUGUGUGUAGGGGAGAAAUUCCAAUCGAGUUUGGCAAUAGCUGGUUCUCUCCGAAAUAGCUUGAGGGCUAGCGUCAUGUAAUUACACUCAAGAGGUAGAGCUACUGAAUGGGAUAUCCGCUUUCGGGUAGGGAUCCCAAUCAAACUCCGAAUUCUUGUAGUGCGUACCAUGGCAGUCAGAAAUCCGGCGCUAAGGUCGGAUCUCAAAAGGGAAACAGCCCAGAUCAUCAUCUAAGGUCCCUAAAUCUAUGUUAAGUGGAAAAGGAAGUGAAGUUUCUUAUACAUCUAGGAGGUUGGCUUAGAAGCAGCCACCCUUUAAAGAGUGCGUAACAGCUCACUAGACUAGAGACUUCGCGCCGAAAAUGUAACGGGGCUAAACAUAGUACCGAAGAUAUGGACUCCGCGCUAUGCGCGGAUUGGUAGGAGAGCGUUCUUUGUGCGUCGAAGCGUAAGGGGUGACCCGUCGUGGAGCGCAAAGAAGUGAGAAUGUUGGCAUGAGUAACCACAAUGUGGGUGAAAUCCCCACACACCGUAAGUCUAAGGUUUCCUGGGCAACGUCGAUCGACCCAGGGUUAGUCGGUCCUAAGGCGAGGCUGAAAAGCGUAGUCGAUGGACAACAGGUUAAUAUUCCUGUACUGCGGUAAUAUUCGAAGGAGUGACGCAUCUUAGUACACUUGGCGCCUUAUUGGAUUGGCGUAGGCAUUUUAAGGACGUUGUGUAGGUAAAUCCGCACAACAUUAAGUCCAAGAAAUGACUGGACUUUUUCGCUUGCGAAGAGGAACUAAGUGGAGCAGGGUGCCAGGAAAAACUUCUAAGGUUAAUAUUAUCGUAUCCGUACCGAAAACCGACACAGGUAGACGAGGCGAGUAGCCUAAGGUGAACGGGAGAACCUUCGUUAAGGAACUCGGCAAAAAAACUAGGCGUAAGUUCGCGAGAUGUCUUGCCGGUGCCACACAUUGGGAAUUCCAAAAAUAAGUUUUGGUGCUUCCGAUGUGUGGUGCUGGCCGCAGUGAAAAUUUCCCAAGCGACUGUUUACCAAAAACACAGGUCUCUGCUAAAGCGCAAGCUGAUGUAUAGGGGCUGACACCUGACCAGUGCUGGACCGUUAAGGGGAUUGGUGCAAGCUAAUUCCUGAAGCAUCCAGUGAACGUCGGCGAUAACUAUAAUCGUCCUAAGGUAGCGAAAUUCCUUGUCGGGUAAAUUCCGACCCGCAUGAAAGGUGUAACGACUUGGGAACUGUCUCAACGAAGGACCCGGUGAAAUCGCAAUGACGGUGAAGAUGCCGUCGACCUACAGCAAGACGAAAAGACCCCGUGGAGCUUUACUACAACUUGGUAUUGAAUUAGGAUUCUAGUUGCCGAGCAUAGGUGGGAGACUUUGAAACUGUGUUUUCGGAUGCAGUGGAGUCAACAGUGGAAUACCACCCUGCUAAAGUUUUAAUUCUAACCCUGGUCUGUUAUGAGUCAACAAGACUUAUAGAUGAUGAAUCAUGAAAUAAUUUUUUCUGAUUUGUUUGACACAGAAGUUGUUUUCAUGGUUCAAAAUCGUAGAAGUCUUAGUGAUUCAUAUCCAGACCGGGAACAGUGCCUGGCGGGUAGUUUGACUGGGGCGGUCGCCUCCUAAAUGGCAACGGAGGCGUUUACAAAGGUUGGCUAAGUCCGGAUGGAAAUCGGGCUGAUAGCGCAAAAGCACAAGCCAGCUUUACUGGAAGACCCAUAAGUCGAUCAGUUACGAAAGUAGAAUUUAGUGAACCGACCAUCCCACGUAGGUGGGUGGAAGAUCAUCAGAUAAAAGUUACCCCGGGGAUAACAGGCUGAUCCCUCCCAAGAGUCCACAUCGACGGAGGGGUUUGGCACCUCGAUGUCGGCUCAUCGCAUCCUGGGGCUGGAGAAGGUCCCAAGGGUUUGGCUGUUCGCCAAUCAAACCGUCGUGAGACAGGUUGGUCUCUAUCUGCUGUAGGCGUGGUUGCUUGAGAGGACUUUUUCCUAGUACGAGAGGACCGGAAAGAACGAACCUCUGGUGUAUCGGUUGUUCCGCCAGGAGCAUUGCCGAGUAGCUAUGUUCGGAAGAGAUAACCGCUGAAAGCAUCUAAGCGGGAAGCUCACCUCGAGAUAAGGCAACAGUUAUACUUCGGUAUAACAGGACAUCCUGGAAGACUACCAGGUUGAUAGGCUUUAGGUAUAAGUUCGGUAACGAAUUUAGCCAAGAAGUACUAAUAUGUUCAUUAAUCUUUCUAA